UCUUAAGACAAAGCAAAGAAGAACCUAGAAAAUGAAAGAGAAAUCAAGCAGAAUAUCUGAUGAAGUUAUGACUGAAGCUUGUAUAUCAUGGCCUUUAAUUUUUUUUUAAGCAG
Long non-coding RNA from Sapajus apella (tufted capuchin), 113 nucleotides. RefSeq lists it as uncharacterized. Lineage: Eukaryota; Metazoa; Chordata; Mammalia; Primates; Cebidae. The record is from RefSeq and is a predicted model, not a curated record. The transcript has 3 exons.